RNAcentral lists this ribosomal RNA (1513 nucleotides) under Enterobacter cloacae. RNAcentral describes it as "bacterial SSU rRNA". It matches the Rfam family "Bacterial small subunit ribosomal RNA". RNAcentral also lists the same sequence under 1 other name. The record is from RNAcentral. Lineage: Bacteria; Pseudomonadati; Pseudomonadota; Gammaproteobacteria; Enterobacterales; Enterobacteriaceae.
AUUGAACGCUGGCGGCAGGCCUAACACAUGCAAGUCGAACGGUAGCACAGAGAGCUUGCUCUCGGGUGACGAGUGGCGGACGGGUGAGUAAUGUCUGGGAAACUGCCUGAUGGAGGGGGAUAACUACUGGAAACGGUAGCUAAUACCGCAUAACGUCGCAAGACCAAAGAGGGGGACCUUCGGGCCUCUUGCCAUCAGAUGUGCCCAGAUGGGAUUAGCUAGUAGGUGGGGUAACGGCUCACCUAGGCGACGAUCCCUAGCUGGUCUGAGAGGAUGACCAGCCACACUGGAACUGAGACACGGUCCAGACUCCUACGGGAGGCAGCAGUGGGGAAUAUUGCACAAUGGGCGCAAGCCUGAUGCAGCCAUGCCGCGUGUAUGAAGAAGGCCUUCGGGUUGUAAAGUACUUUCAGCGGGGAGGAAGGUGUUGUGGUUAAUAACCACAGCAAUUGACGUUACCCGCAGAAGAAGCACCGGCUAACUCCGUGCCAGCAGCCGCGGUAAUACGGAGGGUGCAAGCGUUAAUCGGAAUUACUGGGCGUAAAGCGCACGCAGGCGGUCUGUCAAGUCGGAUGUGAAAUCCCCGGGCUCAACCUGGGAACUGCAUUCGAAACUGGCAGGCUAGAGUCUUGUAGAGGGGGGUAGAAUUCCAGGUGUAGCGGUGAAAUGCGUAGAGAUCUGGAGGAAUACCGGUGGCGAAGGCGGCCCCCUGGACAAAGACUGACGCUCAGGUGCGAAAGCGUGGGGAGCAAACAGGAUUAGAUACCCUGGUAGUCCACGCCGUAAACGAUGUCGACUUGGAGGUUGUGCCCUUGAGGCGUGGCUUCCGGAGCUAACGCGUUAAGUCGACCGCCUGGGGAGUACGGCCGCAAGGUUAAAACUCAAAUGAAUUGACGGGGGCCCGCACAAGCGGUGGAGCAUGUGGUUUAAUUCGAUGCAACGCGAAGAACCUUACCUACUCUUGACAUCCAGAGAACUUAGCAGAGAUGCUUUGGUGCCUUCGGGAACUCUGAGACAGGUGCUGCAUGGCUGUCGUCAGCUCGUGUUGUGAAAUGUUGGGUUAAGUCCCGCAACGAGCGCAACCCUUAUCCUUUGUUGCCAGCGGUCCGGCCGGGAACUCAAAGGAGACUGCCAGUGAUAAACUGGAGGAAGGUGGGGAUGACGUCAAGUCAUCAUGGCCCUUACGAGUAGGGCUACACACGUGCUACAAUGGCGCAUACAAAGAGAAGCGAACUCGCGAGAGCAAGCGGACCUCAUAAAGUGCGUCGUAGUCCGGAUUGGAGUCUGCAACUCGACUCCAUGAAGUCGGAAUCGCUAGUAAUCGUAGAUCAGAAUGCUACGGUGAAUACGUUCCCGGGCCUUGUACACACCGCCCGUCACACCAUGGGAGUGGGUUGCAAAAGAAGUAGGUAGCUUAACCUUCGGGAGGGCGCUUACCACUUUGUGAUUCAUGACUGGGGUGAAGUCGUAACAAGGUAACCGUAGGGGAACCUGCGGUUGGAUCACCUCCUUA